RNAcentral lists this transfer RNA (82 nucleotides) under Alphaproteobacteria bacterium. RNAcentral describes it as "tRNA-Tyr". It matches the Rfam family "tRNA". From Rfam's summary of the family: Transfer RNA (tRNA) molecules are approximately 80 nucleotides in length. Their secondary structure includes four short double-helical elements and three loops (D, anti-codon, and T loops). RNAcentral also lists the same sequence under 4 other names. Lineage: Bacteria; Pseudomonadati; Pseudomonadota; Alphaproteobacteria. The record is from RNAcentral.
GGGGGUGUUCCCGAGCGGCCAAAGGGGACGGGCUGUAAACCCGUUGGCUCUGCCUUCGGAGGUUCGAAUCCUCCCGCCCCCA